UACGUAGGGCGCAAGCGUUGUCCGGAAUUAUUGGGCGUAAAGAGCUCGUAGGCGGCCUGUUGCGUCCGCUGUGAAAUCCCGGGGCUCAACCCCGGGCGUGCAGUGGAUACGGGCUGGCUGGAGGCAGGCAGGGGAGAACGGAAUUCCUGGUGUAGCGGUAAAAUGCGCAGAUAUCAGGAGGAACACCGGUGGCGAAGGCGGUUCUCUGGGCCUGUACUGACGCUGAGGAGCGAAAGCGUGGGGAGCGAACAGG
RNAcentral lists this ribosomal RNA (253 nucleotides) under uncultured bacterium. Its description in RNAcentral is "partial 16S ribosomal RNA". It matches the Rfam family "Bacterial small subunit ribosomal RNA", at positions 524 to 776 of the family's 1533-position model. The record is from RNAcentral.